CUUUGUUCUGUUUAAAGAAAUUACUGCAUAAGUUCAAAAAGGAGCCAUAGACCUGCUUACAACACAGAAAUCCGGCACUACCAGUGAUGCUCUGACAGUGAAUAUGAGAGUGGGAAUUGCUAGAGCUGAAACCAUAAAUGAGACUAAGAAGAGACCCAUGUAAUUGGAAGUUCACAAAGACAGCGAUCAACAAACCAGCAGAAUUAUCGAUGAAGAACUGUUCUCUGGUGUUUAAAAUGUGUCUUUGCAUUUUCUGUAUAACUGGAUCCUAGCUCAUUAAGGG
Molecule: long non-coding RNA, 283 nt
Organism: Hirundo rustica (Barn swallow)
Lineage: Eukaryota; Metazoa; Chordata; Aves; Passeriformes; Hirundinidae
Exons: 3
Source: RefSeq, a predicted model, not a curated record